CCGGCAGCUGCCCCGUCUGAGAGCUGGCUCCAUGUUCGGCUUUCCCAGGAGACGGUGCUGGAGGAGCAGCACAGGACGAGGAAGGGCUUCUCUUGCAGGCUCCUCAGUGAGGUGUCCCGCAGCAUCCAGCCUCCUGCAGCAGCCCAGAGAGUGGCCUGCCAGAGAGUUCCACCCACACCGGCACUUCAGCAAACUUUCCUGCAGCCAGGGCGCCUCGGCUGUACCAUCUCUAACAAGAUCUGGUCAUACAGAGUGGAGGGGUUGCCUCAGCCCAGGAAGGAAGCAGAAGACCCAGGCAGAUGCAAGCAGGAAAGAAGGCUGAGCUCAGUGGCACAUGCCUGUAAUCCCAGCACUUUGGGAGGCUGAGGCAGGAGGAUCGCUUGAACCCAAGAGUUUGAGGCUGCUGUGAGCUGUGAUCACACCACUGCAUUCCAACCUGGGCAACAGAAGGAGACCCUUUCUAAAAAAUAAAAUAAAAUAAAAUAAAAUAAAA
RNAcentral lists this long non-coding RNA (493 nucleotides) under Homo sapiens (human). Its description in RNAcentral is "HSALNT0182086". Lineage: Eukaryota; Metazoa; Chordata; Mammalia; Primates; Hominidae. The record is from RNAcentral.